Molecule: transfer RNA, 76 nt
Filed under: Monodelphis domestica (gray short-tailed opossum)
Lineage: Eukaryota; Metazoa; Chordata; Mammalia; Didelphimorphia; Didelphidae
Source: Rfam by way of RNAcentral
ACUCUUUGGUGCUAUAGGCAGCGCAUCAAUCAGUCUCACAAGCUGAAGGUCCUGAGUUCGAUCCUCAGAAAGAGGG